Molecule: RNA transcript, 2114 nt
Organism: Rosa rugosa (rugosa rose)
Lineage: Eukaryota; Viridiplantae; Streptophyta; Magnoliopsida; Rosales; Rosaceae
Gene name: D-amino-acid transaminase, chloroplastic
Exons: 6
Source: RefSeq, a predicted model, not a curated record
GCAGCUGACUAUUGUUUUUGAUUUUUCCCUUUGUUUUUUUGUUUUUUGUUUUUUGGUCUGAUUUUUCCCCAUUUCCUAGUAGAUGAAAAUGAAGUUGCCCACAUAAACCCACUCAAUCUCUAAAGCUCAGAGCUUCAUAAGCAUUCUUACUCAGAGCUCUCUGAUCACUUCCAUGGCUUCCCUCCAAUCUUUCUCAAAACCCGUCUCGCAAAAUCCACAUAUUACCAGAAAACCAGUUGAUCAUUCUCUUAGUUUGAGUCUAAUUCCACGAAACCUUGCAUUUUUAGGACCUGGGUUACGUUUUAUUCACCAUGGGUCCGCCAAAGAGAUGAAAAUCAUCAGAAGCUUGAAACGAACCGAAGCUGUGACUGACAUUUUUGUGGCAGAUUACAGCAUUCAAGUUUCUGAUGUCCCACUGCUGACUUGCUCAGAGGCAAUGGAAAGGCUAAAAACAAACCGCGAAAAUCAAAAGGGUACACAAGAGUUUCUAGCCAUGUAUUCUAGCAUUUUUGGAGGAAUAACUACAGAUCCAUCUGCUAUGGUGAUCCCUAUUGAUGACCACAUGGUCCACAGAGGGCAUGGGGUUUUCGACACUGCUGCUAUAAGGGACGGAUAUCUGUACGAGCUGGACCAGCACAUUGACCGUAUUUUGAGGUCAGCAUCCAUGGCCAAAAUUGGCCUACCGUUUGAUAGAGAAAGCAUUAGAAAAAUACUCAUACAAACAGUGAGUGCUUCCAAGUGCAAAACAGGAUCACUAAGGUACUGGCUCUCGGCAGGACCUGGUGAUUUUCAGUUGUCUCCCUCUGGUUGCAAUCAGCCAGCUCUUUAUGCUAUUGUAGUCCAAGACAAAUCACCUUUUAGUUCAAAGGGUGUUAAAGUAGUAACGUCGUCAAUCCCUAUAAAACCACCCCAAUUUGCGGUUAUGAAGAGUGUGAAUUAUCUUCCGAAUGUGCUUUCAAAGAUGGAGGCUGAAGAAAAAGGUGCCUUUGCAGCGAUUUGGCUGGAUGGUGAUGGAUUUAUUGCGGAAGGUCCCAACAUGAAUGUGGCUUUUGUUACAAAAGAUAAGGAACUUCUGAUGCCUCAGUUUGACAAAAUACUAAGUGGCUGCACGGCUAAGAGAGUUUUGGCGCUUGCAGAAGGCCUGGUGAAGGAGGGUAAGCUUCAGGCAGUGAGAGUCGUAAAUGUGACUGUUGAGGAAGGGAAAAAGGCAGAUGAGAUGAUGCUUAUUGGCAGUGGAAUUCUUGUUCGCCCUAUAGUGCAAUGGGACGAGCAGAUCAUUGGUGAUGGCAAAGAAGGACCCUUGACUCAGAUUCUCCUGAAUCUUAUCAUCAAGGACAUGGAAUCCGGCCCCCUUACUGUCCGAACGCCUAUUCCUAACUAGCCGACACCGUCUGAUACUUUCAAUCCUGUUGAAAUCUCAAGCACCGGAAACCAGUCAUGACCCAAUUGGGACAUUUCUAUCCAGUGUUCACUUUGGAGCUCUGCUCUUUUGUAAUUGAGAAGUCAAACUUGGAUUGCUACCAUUGAGAAUGAGACGACUUAUUCCCUGGUUUUCAGCUCAAACUCGGUGACCGGAGAAACAAUCAAACAAAAUAGUUGAAAUUUCUAUGACGCCUUUCGGAUAAACCAAGAGGAAUUAGUAAAUAAUGUACUACAAUAAUGCUUAAAACAGAGAGAAUGGGGCACAAAUAAUAUUCGAAUGUCUUAGAUGGUGAUUUUUAAAUCUAGUGGAGCAUCUGUUAGUUGUUACCUAAGUCAGGGAUUAUUCCUAAUUGCAUAAGGGAUCGAUGCUUGUUUGUUUUGUUCUCACCUUUUUGUGUUCAGAAUAUUUGUUUUGAUCCAUUAGUGGGGCGGUUAUCUGAGACUAGGGGUUGAAAAUCUUAUAAAUUUUCAUCCACUUGUUUCAUUUAUGGAUUUUUGUGUUUGGAUUUUCUGUAUGCUUAGCAGGUUGGAGAUUGAGAUGAUGAGAUCAAAGAUCCACACAUGAUUCAUCAAAAUUGGCAUAGAGAACAGUGAUGGGCUUGACAAUUUGUUUGAUUCAAAAUUGUGGUGACAAUUUAUGAAUUAUUAUCUAAAAUUUAUUAUAAGAAAUUCAAACUCAGUUGGUGUAGUUA